RNAcentral lists this non-coding RNA (235 nucleotides) under Pelagerythrobacter marensis. The record is from RNAcentral. Lineage: Bacteria; Pseudomonadati; Pseudomonadota; Alphaproteobacteria; Sphingomonadales; Erythrobacteraceae.
CUUUGUAGCGCGGGUCGAGGUUCCUCGUGCGCGGCGGUGCGAAUUGCUGCGUCACGGGGCUAAGACGGGAAGCCGGUGACAUUCCGUGCGAAUGAAGUCCGGCGCUGCCCCCGCAACUGUGAGCGGCGAGCGGCAUCCCGACAACGCCACUGGCUUGCAUCUUGCCAAGCUGGGAAGGCCGGGCUGCCGUCACGACCCGCGAGCCAGGAGACCUGCCUGCGACGCGAUAACGUUC